GGAAUCUUCCACAAUGGGCGAAAGCCUGAUGGAGCGACGCCGCGUGAGGGAUGAAGGCCUUAGGGUUGUAAACCUCUAAAAGAGGGACGAUAAUGACGGUACCUCUUGAAUAGCACCGGCUAACUCCGUGCCAGCAGCCGCGGUAAUACGGAGGGUGCAAGCGUUAUCCGGAUUUACUGGGUUUAAAGGGUGUGUAGGCGGAUAUUUAAGUCAGAGGUGAAAUCUCCGGGCUCAACCCGGAAACUGCCUUUGAUACUAUUUAUCUUGAAUUUCGUUGAGGUUGGCGGAAUAUAUCAUGUAGCGGUGAAAUGCAUAGAUAUGAUAUAGAACACCGAUUGCGUAGGCAGCUGGCUGAACGACGAUUGACGCUGAGGCACGAAAGCGUGGGUAGCGA
This 394-nucleotide ribosomal RNA is filed under the name uncultured bacterium. RNAcentral's name for it is "bacterial SSU rRNA". It matches the Rfam family "Bacterial small subunit ribosomal RNA", at positions 358 to 771 of the family's 1533-position model. The record is from RNAcentral.